AGCAGCCGCGGUAAUUCCAGCUCCAAUAGCGUAUAUUAAAGUUGUUGCAGUUAAAAAGCUCGUAGUUGAAUUUCGGGGUCAGUAGUUUGGUCGUGCCAACGGUAUGUACUGGGCUCACUGAUUCCUCCUUCCUGAUGAACUGUAAUGCCAUUAAUUUGGUGUUGCAGGGAAACUGGACUGUUACUUUGAAAAAUUAGAGUGUUUAAAGCAAGCUAACGCUUGAAUACAUUAGCAUGGAAUAAUGAAAUAGGACGUUCGAUCCUAUUUUGUUGGUUUCUAGGAUUGACGUAAUGAUUAAUAGGGAUAGUUGGGGGCAUUAGUAUUCAAUUGUCAGAGGUGAAAUUCUUGGAUUUAUUGAAGACUAACUACUGCGAAAGCAUUUGCCAAGGAUGUUUUCAUUAAUCAAGAACGAAAGUUAGGGGAUCGAAGACGAUCAGAUACCGUCGUAGUCUUAACCAUAAACUAUGCCGACUAGGGAUCGGAUGAUGUUAAUUUUUUAAUGUACUCAUUCGGCGCCUUA
Molecule: ribosomal RNA, 520 nt
Filed under: uncultured Glomus
Lineage: Eukaryota; Fungi; Glomeromycota; Glomeromycetes; Glomerales; Glomeraceae
Description: SSU rRNA
Rfam family: Eukaryotic small subunit ribosomal RNA
Source: RNAcentral